UACGGAAGGGGCAAGCGUUGUUCGGAAUCACUGGGCGUAAAGCGCACGCAGGCGGAUUGAUAAGUCAGGGGUGAAAUCCCGGGGCUCAACCUCGGAAUUGCCUUUGAUACUGUCUGUCUUGAGUUCGGGAGAGGUUGGCGGAAUUCCUAGUGUAGAGGUGAAAUGCGCAGAUAUCAGGAGGAACACCGGUGGCGAAGGCGGUGGUCUGGGCCGGCACUGACGCUGAGGAGCGAAAGCGUGGGGAGCAAACAGG
This 253-nucleotide ribosomal RNA is filed under the name uncultured bacterium. Its description in RNAcentral is "partial 16S ribosomal RNA". It matches the Rfam family "Bacterial small subunit ribosomal RNA", at positions 524 to 776 of the family's 1533-position model. The record is from RNAcentral.